UUGACCUCAAAUCAGGUAGGACUACCCGCUGAACUUAAGCAUAUCAAUAAGCGGAGGAAAAGAAACUAACAAGGAUUCCCCUAGUAACUGCGAGUGAAGCGGGAAAAGCUCAAAUUUAAAAUCUGGCGGUCUUUGGCCGUUCGAGUUGUAAUCUAGAGAAGUGUUACCCGCGCUGGACCGUGUACAAGUCUCCUGGAAUGGAGCGUCAUAGAGGGUGAGAAUCCCGUCUUUGACACGGACUGCCAGGGCUAUGUGGUGCGCUCUCAACGAGUCGAGUUGUUUGGGAAUGCAGCUCAAAAUGGGUGGUAAAUUCCAUCUAAAGCUAAAUAUUGGCGAGAGACCGAUAGCGAACAAGUACCGUGAGGGAAAGAUGAAAAGAACUUUGGAAAGAGAGUUAAACAGUACGUGAAAUUGCUGAAAGGGAAACGCUUGAAGUCAGUCGCGUUGGCCGGAAAUCAACCUUGCUUUUGCUGGGCGUACUUUCUGGUCGACGGGUCAGCAUCAAUUUUGACCGUUGGAUAAAGGCCAGGGGAAUGUGGCAUCUUCGGAUGUGUUAUAGCCCUUGGUUGCAUACAGCGGUUGGGAUUGAGGAACUCAGCA
This 600-nucleotide ribosomal RNA is filed under the name Nidula niveotomentosa. RNAcentral describes it as "eukaryotic LSU rRNA". It matches the Rfam family "Eukaryotic large subunit ribosomal RNA", at positions 1 to 600 of the family's 3401-position model. Lineage: Eukaryota; Fungi; Basidiomycota; Agaricomycetes; Agaricales; Nidulariaceae. The record is from RNAcentral. RNAcentral also lists the same sequence under 1 other name.